UACGUAGGGGGCAAGCGUUGUCCGGAUUUAUUGGGCGUAAAGCGCGUGUAGGCGGCCAGGUAGGUCUGGUGUGAAAACUCGAGGCUCAACCUCGAGAGGUCAUCGGAAACCAUCUGGCUAGAGUCCGGAAGAGGAGAGUGGAAUUCCCGGUGUAGCGGUGAAAUGCGCAGAUAUCAGGAAGAACACCUAUGGCGAAGGCAGCACUCUGGGACGGUACUGACGCUGAGACGCGAAAGCGUGGGGAGCGAACAGG
Molecule: ribosomal RNA, 253 nt
Filed under: uncultured bacterium
Lineage: Bacteria
Description: partial 16S ribosomal RNA
Rfam family: Bacterial small subunit ribosomal RNA
Source: RNAcentral